Molecule: long non-coding RNA, 2341 nt
Organism: Vigna unguiculata (cowpea)
Lineage: Eukaryota; Viridiplantae; Streptophyta; Magnoliopsida; Fabales; Fabaceae
Source: RefSeq, a predicted model, not a curated record
CUUUUUCUCACUUUUCGUCUUCCCUCUCUUUUAUUUGUUUCGUGUACAAUUGAUUUUCAUUCCUAGAAUAUCCUACCUCUUUAAUCUCAUCUUCCUAUACGAAGAACAUAAAUUUCUCUCAUCAUUUGAAAAAAAUUCUCCAUCUCCUCUUUCUUAUGCAUUUACUAAACACUAAGUAUCCGGAUCCCUAAUUCCUUUGCCCUUGAUUUUUCCCAAUUUCUUUGCCUAACUCUCACUAGGCAUUCAUGAGGAGGUUCACAAGCGGUAUACUACGCAGUAGAAGCUCUCCACCCUGACGAUGACUUGGUUGUUCGACUCUGAUUGAUUCCGCUGUGUAGGCGUCGUCUGCCUUGGAGUGCUUGUUAGCCGCGAGGGAGAAUCCGAGCCAGGUGUUGAUGUCGGGGGCGUCAUCUUCCACCACCGUCGUAGGUCUCUUCAGCCUCGAUGGUCGCCUCCUCACAGCCCGCCCUAGCCCCAAGGUUGUCGAUCUAUAGACCAUUGCAAAGAAGUUGAUUUUGGUGACUGGCGUUUAAGGAUUUGGAGGAUCGAAAAGCUUGGUGAAGAAGAUUGACAUAAAAGGCGUUAAGAAAAUGGUUGAUGAGGGAAAAUUCUUCACUUCCUUUGAAAUUGCUUAUCACUGAAGAACUUGGUUUGAAGCUUGGAAAAGUGGAUUUGGAUAUGCUUGGCACUUGCAAAGAGAAAGCAGGCUUUGUAUUUGGUCUACCUUGGAGGAGUUAUUCUAGUAUCUUCAUUUCUUUCGUGAUGCAGCUCUACGGAACACCAUCUGCUGAAUUGGGCAUGCUAUUCUUCAGGCUCUGACUCGGUACUUCCAGACUCAGAGUAUGAUCUUUCCCAUGGUUUUCAGCUCAAUUACCUCACUGUGUUUGCAUGUUCCUAUUUGUUGGGGUCUGGUUUUUACGUUGGGCUUAGGACACGUUAGAGCUGCGUUAGCCAUUGGAGUUUCUUAUUGGUUAAGUGUGGUUUGGCUUGCAAUAUACAUACUUUACUUCCCGGCUUGUCAAAAAACCAAGAUUGUGUUUUCUUGUAGUGCUUUACUUUGCAUUCCAGAUUUCUUGAAAUUAGUUAUCCCUUCAGGACUCAUGUUUUGGUAAAUAUGACUUUGCAUCAAUGCUUUUUCUUCAUCUAUUUUUCUUCUCUGCUAAUUGCGUUUUUCAUUACUCUCUGCAAUUUUGAAUGGUGGUCUUUUGAGGUGCUAACUUUACUUGUAGGGCUUUUGCCUAAUCCCCAACUUGAAACCGCAGUACUCUUAGUCUGGUGGGUGGAAUCAAUUUCUCCUCCUUUAAUAACUCUGAUGUCACCCAUGCAGCCUUAACGCUACUACCUUACACUACUUCGUUCCUUACGCUGUUGGAGCUUCUACAAGGUUCAGUUGUUUUCAUGUUGUGUUGAGCCUUAUGAAGGUUAAGUUUAAGCUUGAGUAAAUAAAACCCUGUCUUUCAGUGAGUAAUUCUUGAACAGAAAGCGAAUCUUUGUCAUCAAGAACAUACUUUGUAAUUUGUGGUGUUUGUUUUGCAGCACUCGGGUUUCAAAUAAACUAGGUGCAGGAAAUCCAAAAACAACCAAAGGUGUUGUGCGUGUGGUUGUGAUUCUUGUGGUUGCAGAGGCAGUUAUUGUGAGCACAGUGUUCUUCAGUUGCCGACAUAUAUUAGUAUACGCAUAUACGCAUAUAGCAAUGACAUAUAUUGCCAACAUUAUUUGGCUGCCAUUGCUGCAUACUAUGCCAGGGAGGUGGAGGCGGGGUUGAUGGAGUACAAGCCAAAUAUAAUCAUCAACGUCCAUCCCUUGAUGCAGCAUAUUCCAUUGUGGGUUUUGAAAUAUUGAUCAGAGGGCUGGACCAGGUACGAUAGCGGAAGCAUUGAUCAGAGGACUUCCCAUAAUUCUCGACAACUAUAUCCCAAGACAGGAGAAGGGUAACGUGUCGUACGUGGUUGACAAUGAAGCUGGUGUGUUCACGCGUAGUCCUAAGGAAACAACAAAAAUGGUGGCAGAAUGGUUCACCACGAAAUCAGAUGAGCUGAAAAGAAUGUCAGAGAAAGCACUUAAAUUAGCACAACCAGAGGCGGUGUUUGACAUCAUGAGGGACAUUGAUGAACUUGCUAGGCAACGAGAGCCACCAAAUCUUACUAGCCUAAUUUAAUUCAUUAUUUGUGCUUCUUUCAUGGUAGCUUUCUUCCAUUUAGAAUUCACUUGUACAGUUAGCUCUAUUUAUUUAUAUCAUUCUUUAUCUAUGCUAAGAUUCAAUUGUAGUAAACAAGUAUGCUUGUGUGGUUGUGAGGAGAUGCUUUGCCUAUAACUGCAAGAAUGUUUGAAUUCUACACUA